Molecule: long non-coding RNA, 3999 nt
Filed under: Acanthaster planci (crown-of-thorns starfish)
Lineage: Eukaryota; Metazoa; Echinodermata; Asteroidea; Valvatida; Acanthasteridae
Description: uncharacterized LOC110989470
Source: RNAcentral
GAUUCCGCUGUGAUAGCACAAGAUUUCGUUGCUCCUACAAGUUGUUCUUGUUGGCCAUAAGGCCAAAUCUUGAGGCAGCUUUUGCCUAUCAGACACAACAUCAGGUGUCUGUUCAGCAAUUCAGCCUUGGUCAAAACUGGACUGAGGAUACCUUGUCUGUUGAGGGUUGUUGUCAGGGCCAGCAAAGGAGCAGAACUCAACUGAGAGUUACAAGUAUCUUCCACUGAAGAAACUCAUGGUCAUUGGUCAAGGAUUGAUUCCAUCGUACUACCCUUGCUACCCGUGCUACCCCUGCUUAAAAGUCACGAUUCCAGAUGACGGAAACCCCGCUGAUUCCUGAAUACAGAACUGGGAAAUCCGAGGUUGUGGCUGCAGUCAGAGUACUUUGGGAGCCGGAGUUACACCGUUGAUUCGUUGAAGGGAUGUAUCCAUGAUGUAGUGGAAACAUUUUAAGACUUUUUAAAUUUGUGAUUUACCAGUCUUUUUAAAGAAGUCUGAAGAUUAUUUUCAUUUGUGAAGCCUAAUUGGUUCUUUAUAAAUUUUGAAGUGAGUAAUUAUACAUCCAAGUGAGGAUAGUAACUGAUUUCUUUCCUUUGGUUUUGUUUUUUGUUCCUUUGGAGCAACAACAUGGUACAUCAAGUAAAAGGAGUUGAGAAUUAAUUACGCAAGCAAUAAUUUGACAAGUUGUUUGUUUUUUUAUGCCUGUGUAAAUAAUUAAGGAAUAAAUUAAUUUAAGAGAGAGUGGAGUAUAAAACUGACAGUCUCUGUCCCAUGUAUUUUGAGAGUCACACUUCUACACUUGGCCUCAUUGGAGGAAUGGCUGAUGAUUAACUAGUCAUUGAGGUAUUGAAAAAUGAGGACGUCGCGUUGCCGCAGAUGAGCAGCAAGUGUCUUGGCGCCCCGGGUGAAGACCCUUGGUGAAGUGGAGAGACCGAACGGGAGAGCCAGAAACUCGUAGAUUUGACCACAACAUUCGAAGCGAAGGAACUUGCAGUCCUGUUUGUGUAUUGGAAUAUAGAGAUAUGCAUCCUGCAGAUCUAUGGAAGCGGCCCAGCAUGGGACCGGUAGGAGGUGCAAGUCUAUGUUUAGAGUCUCCAUCCAAAACCGCUUCUACGUGAUGAAUUUGUUGAGCAGUUUCAGGUUGAUUAUUGGUCGCCAUUUUCCCGGUUCUUUCUUGGGUGUCAGGAAGAACAACAAAAGGAAGCUGGUGGACAACUGACUUGGGUGUACCGGCAUGAUGGCUUGUUUGCAUGGUAAUGCUGGAAUCUACUCCUCCAGAGCCAGGCGCUUGGACUUGUGGCAUGGAGGGGGAGUUGAACAGAAAACCAUCCCGGAUAGUGGGGAGCUCGUGAAUUCGAGAAUGUAACUGUGGGCAAUGGUGGUAAGGACCCAGCAGUCCACAGUGUUUUCCCGCCAGAACCUGAUGAAGUUGCCUAGACAGCCUCGGACAGGUUUGGGAUUGGUGGCUGCCAAAGGUGAAGGAAAGUAGUCACCGGCGCCGCACUCCUGUGGGGACUGGGGGCGCGGUGCGGACCAGCGGUUGGCAGGUCAUGGUUGGAACGUUUUACAAGCGGCCAGGGGCGGAGCUCCAAGGGAGCCUGAGGACCGAGUUGCUGAUCGGAGCGGACGACUGAAGGAACGGCCUGAAGACGGGGAUGGUCCUGCCUGUCAUCUUCGUUGUGGUGGGGGCUGCCGGUGUGGAGAAGCCCUUCUUCUUGGCCUUGGACGUGGAAGAAGAAGCCAAGGAAGAGGUUUUGGCCUUGCACUUCUUAGUCUUCACUGGAACGGGGGAACCGAAGGCUGGGACGGUUGAAGCUGCAGCUGGGCAAGAAUCCCUCGAAUGGUCGAUCAUAUCCUAGGAGGAGCGCCUUGGAUCAGGAUCAGUGGCCCUAUGGCCGCAGACCAGGGGUUAUACUAGAGCUGCGGAUGGGAUGCAGCGGAUGAAAGCCCUGGUGGUGUAGAAGUCCAAAAGGGCUAACAUCGUCCAACACAACAUGAGGCUGUGCACCAUGCUGUUCUGUAGACUUGCCUGUGACAGAAGCAGUGGAGCGUGGCAAAUUCGUCAUGGAUCCCGUUGCCCACUUAGAAGGGGGUUGACUGGCCCGACUUCCGAGCGGAAGAAGCACAGUGAGCAGAAGCCGGUGAGGGACCUGGGGCAGACGGCGGGCCAUCGCCCUGCAAUCCCUGCUGGGCCAUCGGUAGGCAGAGUCAUUCAGGGAUGUGGUAGGUAGCAACAGUCAGCACCUCCAGCAUAGACAGAGAGGAACAAUUCAUUAUGCUCUGGUCAGCCGUGAUCCAGCCGUGAUAUGCAGAGUGGUCGUCUGUGAUCAAGGAUAGUGUUGCAGCACAGCAUGCUAAACCCGAUCAGUGGGUAGAGAGAGUGGUCGUCAGUGAACAAGGAUAGUGUUGCAGCACAGCAUGCUCAACCCAAUCACUGGGUAUAGAGAGUGGUCGUCAGUAAUCAAGGGUAGUUAUGCAGCACAGCACCCUCAACCCGAUCAAUCCAAACAGCAGUCCUCACUGAUCAUGGGGAGUGUUGUGGCACUGCAUGCUCAACCUAAUCAAUGUAGAUAAAGGUCAGGGGUAGUUUGCGGCACUGCACACUCAACCCUGGCCUAGCCACUCCACUGGGUCUUUCCCUGGCAUGGCUGUUAGUCUCAGACAACACAACCACACCACAAGGGAUCAGGGCAGCUCAUAAGGUCCCCGCUCCACAGCCAGACCCAUACAGCAGAAUAUGGUGGGCCGUUAUUGUUUGAACGUACGCACAUCACUCAGAACAAAGGGAUGCCCGUCAGCCCUGUUUAACAGCCACACACAACACGAUACAAUAGUAGGCCCCAAACCUGUAAAUAAUGCACAGAACUAGAAGGGCAAAGGCGUCAUGGCUCGCUGCUUGUUAUGAAUUUGAAUUUCUUUCCUGUAAUAACAGCUAUGUUUAGGGACAUCCAAGUUAUACAAAUAUGGUUACUAAAUUAUACUAACCAAGCUUCAUCAAAAUCUUUUACAAGAUUGGUUGACAUACAACUACAAUACAGAUGUGCAAGAUAUUUAAUCGACCACAGCAAUAAAAUUCAUUAUACUCUAGGAAAAAACCUAGUUAGUGCUGUGUGCAGACUAUGUUUUGAAAGGUGCCUGUCAUUUAGAAGUAAAUCAACAAAGACCACCAGCAAGGGAGAUAUGGGUACAAACGCUUCACAGUUCUUUACAGGAGAGAGGAAUGCCUGAAGAAUGUGGGUUCAGUACAAUCAGACUAGACCUGGAUGAUUAUAUAAGCAGUGCAUUUGUGAGUCUGAUGGAUGGUGCAUAAUUGAAAUUCCUCUAAAGUACAGUUCUGCAGUUGUAUCCAACCCCAUUAUCCUAUCCUCUACAAUUCUACCCCCCAUCAUCCCAUAUCUACCAUGUCUACUUUGACAUGGUAGUUAAGUUUCUAAACAUUAAUGCCAUAUGAGACUAUUUAAAUACUGAUGGAAUUCCAAGAGGAAGCAAACAAGCACUCAAUGGCACAUUUUGAGGGUGCGUAUCGUAAGUCCGACGCCUGAAAAGUCCGAAUUUUUGGACUUGUGAGGCGUCGGAUUUAUGGGCUCAAAGGUCCGACCCCUCAUAAAUCCGAUGUCUGACUAACGAGGUGUCAGACUUAAUAUGAGGCGUCAGUACGAUUGACUGUGAAACAUGGAGAAGUGUGGGCCCGCGCGAUGUGAGGCUGCGUGUCAUAAAUAGUAUACCAUACUUGACACUGGGAACCAGUCUUGUUCCCAGCGCCGUCUCAUCCGCAGUCAAAUCAAACACCGGACAUUCGAGGCGUCGGAUUAUUUCAGGCGUUGGAUGUAUGCUAUGGGCCAAAAAACCAUUGGAACUUUUAAAUGCAUUUGUCGGACCUAAGAGGCAUCGAACCUAUGAGGUGUCGGACUUAUGGACUUUUUAAAAACCUUUUUGCGGACUUAUGAGGUGUCGGACUUACGAGCUGACACCCAUUUUAACACCUAUGGAUCUGCAAGG